UACGUAGGGUGCAAGCGUUGUCCGGAAUUAUUGGGCGUAAAGAGCUCGUAGGCGGUUUGUCGCGUCUGCUGUGAAAACUCGGGGCUUAACCCCGGGCCUGCAGUGGGUACGGGCAGACUAGAGGUAUGCAGGGGAGAACGGAAUUCCUGGUGUAGCGGUGAAAUGCGCAGAUAUCAGGAGGAACACCGGUGGCGAAGGCGGUUCUCUGGACAGUUCCUGACGCUGAGGCACGAAGGUCAGGGGAGCAAACGGG
RNAcentral lists this ribosomal RNA (253 nucleotides) under uncultured bacterium. RNAcentral's name for it is "partial 16S ribosomal RNA". It matches the Rfam family "Bacterial small subunit ribosomal RNA", at positions 524 to 776 of the family's 1533-position model. The record is from RNAcentral.